GGGAAUGAUUGGACUGGGGUAGAGUGCACAAGGGAUGGUCUCAGGGUUCGUAAGUCAUAAUUCCAUAGAAGUUCUACCAGUGAGAGUGUCAUUUGCAUCAACACAUAGUCUAUUUAAAAAGUCAGACCUUACAUCAUUCAAUUUAACUAGUUGGUAGGAAGAAAUUGCUGACGGAAGAAAUGAGUUGUUGAGGGAAGCACAAGAUGAGGAAAAGAGUUUAGGCACUGGAGAGAUGAGUAAAGGCAGUUUGGGAGCAUGUAAAAUUUUAGGGAAUAAUUGACCCAUGAGAGACAAUGGACAGUCCAGCAAAGAAUGAGAGUGUGGAUGGUUGCCCUGGUGGGCAUUGGGGAAUCUAGGAGGCUGUGGGGUUAGUUCUGGUACAAAUGAUUGACAUUUCUAAGGACCAGUUCAAAUCACCUUCCUUUGAAGGUAAGCCAACUGCAUCAUCUUUUAAAAUAGCAUAAUUACAAAAACAAAUCAAAACCCAAACAACAACAACGACGACGAUGAUGACGACGACGAUGACGUUCUUUAAAGGAAACAUUCUCCAUCUUCCUUUACAGACCCAGUAGUUCCCACUGCAGAAGUUAUCUGAAGAUAGUCUUAUGCUUUCUAGCAGUGGUCUGUGAUCAGCCUUUAUCUUCUCCACGAACACUAUGAUGGAUUUAGUUUAUACAUGUAUUAAACUCAGAGGCAUUUUCUCAAGUGAGUUUAAAUGCACUUUAUUUUUAGACAACUUACAUGACAUGUUUUUUUUUCCCCCUAAAAAACAAUGCCUCCACUCCAAAUAAAUCCACAGUCAAAAUAAAUGAAGCAUUCAAGAUGACAUCAGUCCCAUGUGUCUAAAAUCCUGGUGGUGUGUGGAUGACAAGCAGCAGCCAGUUAUGAUGAGUGAUAGAUCCAAGAUAACUGCCAAAUCCAUUAACAUUUUUCCAUUUCUAAACCACCCUUAAAGAAAGUCAUAAAUGGU
Molecule: long non-coding RNA, 970 nt
Filed under: Heterocephalus glaber (naked mole-rat)
Lineage: Eukaryota; Metazoa; Chordata; Mammalia; Rodentia; Bathyergidae
Description: lncRNA (ENSHGLG00100034964.1)
Source: RNAcentral